Molecule: unclassified non-coding RNA, 264 nt
Filed under: uncultured Hypocreales
Lineage: Eukaryota; Fungi; Ascomycota; Sordariomycetes; Hypocreales
Description: sequence contains 5.8S rRNA gene, ITS2, 28S rRNA gene
Rfam family: 5.8S ribosomal RNA (bases 1-52)
Source: RNAcentral
AACGCACAUUGCGCCCGCGAGUAUUCUCGCGGGCAUGCCUGUCCGAGCGUCAUUUCAACCCUCAGAGCUCGCCUGCUUGUCAGGCGCGGCGCUGGUGUUGGGGAUCGGCCUAACCGCCGUCCCCCAAAUACAGUGGCGGUCUCGCUGCAGCCUCCCCUGCGUAGUAGCAACACUCGCAUGCGGAGCGCGGCGCGGCCACGCCGUAAAACCCCCGACUUUCUGAACGUUGACCUCGGAUCAGGUAGGAAUACCCGCUGAACUUAA